GAGUGGAAUUCCACGUGUAGCGGUGAAAUGCGUAGAGAUGUGGAGAACACCAGUGGGCGAAGGGCGACUCUCUGGUCUGUAACUGACGCUGAGGAGCGAAAGCGUGGGGAGCGAACAGGAUUAGAUACCCUGGUAGUCCACGCCGUAAACGAUGAGUGCUAAGUGUUAGGGGGUUUCCGCCCCUUAGUGCUGCAGCUAACGCAUUAAGCACUCCGCCUGGGGAGUACGGUCGCAAGACUGAAACUCAAAGGAAUUGACGGGGGCCCGCACAAGCGGUGGAGCAUGUGGUUUAAUUUGAAGCAACGCGAAGAACCUUACCAGGUCUUGACAUCCUCUGACAAUCCUAGAGAUAGGACGUCCCCUUCGGGGGCAGAGUGACAGGUGGUGCAUGGUUGUCGUCAGCUCGUGUCGUGAGAUGUUGGGUUAAGUCCCGCAACGAGCGCAACCCUUGAUCUUAGUUGCCAGCAUUCAGUUGGGCACUCUAAGGUGACUGCCGGUGACAAACCGGAGGAAGGUGGGGAUGACGUCAAAUCAUCAUGCCCCUUAUGACCUGGGCUACACACGUGCUACAAUGGACAGAACAAAGGGCAGCGAAACCGCGAGGUUAAGCCAAUCCCACAAAUCUGUUCUCAGUUCGGAUCGCAGUCUGCAACUCGACUGCGUGAAGCUGGAAUCGCUAGUAAUCGCGGAUCAGCAUGCCGCGGUGAAUACGUUCCCGGGCCUUGUACACACCGCCCGUCACACCACGAGAGUUUGUAACACCCGAAGUCGGUGAGGUAACCUUUUAGGAGCCAGCCGCCGAAG
RNAcentral lists this ribosomal RNA (804 nucleotides) under Bacillus subtilis. Its description in RNAcentral is "bacterial SSU rRNA". It matches the Rfam family "Bacterial small subunit ribosomal RNA", at positions 659 to 1461 of the family's 1533-position model. The record is from RNAcentral. Lineage: Bacteria; Bacillati; Bacillota; Bacilli; Caryophanales; Bacillaceae.